This 2058-nucleotide long non-coding RNA is filed under the name Gadus morhua (Atlantic cod). RNAcentral's name for it is "lncRNA (ENSGMOG00000027281.1)". The record is from RNAcentral. Lineage: Eukaryota; Metazoa; Chordata; Actinopteri; Gadiformes; Gadidae.
CGGUGUCUUCCGUCAGAGACCAGCGCCCCUCGGUUCCGCCGCCCCCCACCACAGAGGUGAUGGACGAGGAGCUGGUCCAGACGGUCACUGACGUGGAAAUGGGUAGCUGGCACCACAUGCAUACAUACACACCACAACUGAUAUCUAUUCUUGAGUCAGUGUGUUUGCAUUAACUGUAACUUUUUCAUUUGCCGGUCGCUAAAGCUGAUGCCUGAAGGACAAAGGUAGGUUUAUCAGGUGAUGUAGCCGUCUUUGUUGGUGGUAGACGCGCCGUCCUCACUCACGUAGUGGUAAUGUGGAUUUGAUUAAACUCCCAGUCUAGCAAACCUCGCCUUGUAACUAACAUUCGCCUUGUAGCACACCUCUUAACGGUCGCCUUGUAGCACACCUCUUAACAGUCGCCUUGUAGCACUAAACCAUUUUAUCUAAUCAACGGCAUGCUGCACGUCAUGAAUGCUCAGACUCACUUAGUCUCGCCUGCCUGUGUGUUGCCCCGUCACUCUCAUUGUGCUGAUGCCAUUUGGUUGUGCGUGACCGUGUCUGAAGCUGGCGUACAGGUCCUUCAGGCCCUCCCGCUCCCGCUGGAGACGCCUCCGUCUCCGCCUCCUCCGGCACCGUCCUCCACCCCUCCCCCACCACCACCACCUCCACCACCACCAUCCCCACCACCACCACCUCCACCACCACCACCACCACCACAGGUUGCGGCCGCUCCGCCGACGGUCGGGCUUCCUGCUCGGGCUCCGGCGCAGACCAGGGUGGAGCCUCGUGGCGUCUCCGUGGAGGAGACGCCGUGCGGGGAGGCCACCCUGGCACCGGAGCCGAAGAAGAGGAGGAAGAUGACGACGGGCGACGCGGAGCAGUCGGCAACGCCCGCUCCUGCUCGGGCUGAGACCCGGUUGGCUGAGGGCUGGCGGACAGCCCUCACCGGGGAGGAGCAGGAGCUGAACAGUAGGACCCUCUCGCUGUGGUUCACCCGGACGCAGCGAGAGAAGGAGAGGGCUGUGUUGACUCCAGGCGUUGCAGCAGACGGAGGACGACCACCGGCGGCGGCCGCGGCGACAGCGCCGGGCCCGGCCUCGGCAGCGGCGGUGGAUCGUCCGGCGGCAGCAGCGACGGCGACGUCGGCGGUGCCUCAAGGCCGGGCGACGCCAGCGGCAGCGAGGGGGGCGGCGGUGGCCCCGGCAGCGGCCCCGGCUGUGGCAGCACCGGGGCCCGCUCUGCCGGCGCCCAGACGGCUACUGGCGCCUCGACAGCCCGCCCCCUCGGCUGCUUACCCGGCCUUCCUGCCGACUGCUGCUGCCGCAGCUGCAACUGGACCUUUAAGAGCAGCACAGCCUCUCCUUGUGGACCUCUUACUGCCCCGGCAGAGUGUGUGGGUGCUCCCCGUCCCCGUCCUGACGCUCCCUCGGACACUGCCGGCUCCACACGUCCUCCCUCCGCCGCUGGCCGCCGCACAGCACGCCGGCCCUGAGCUGCCGGUAGCCCUGCCCGCCGCGCAGCACGCCGGCCCUGAGCUGCCUGUACCCCUGCCCGCCGCACAGCACGCCGGCCCUGAGCUGCCUGUACCCCUGCCCGCAGCACAGCACGCCGGCCCUGAGCUGCCGGUAGCCCUCAAAACGGUAGAACGGAGGAGGCUGAACGCCAAGCGGCGGGCGGAGGCACAGCCGGGCACAACAUACUCCUCCCGGGCCGGCGUGCCACAGGUGCAUAAGUGCAGUAAAUGCGGCCAGCCGAGGCGGAGGGAGACCGGACACUCCCGCCACGGCAGAGAAUACUUCUGCUCCGUCGCGGCGGGUCAGAGUGUGGAGGACUGGCUGAGGGAGAAGAGGAGCGGGACCAGGGUGGAGCCCCGCACUGAUGCGCACUCUUGCCGGGGAUGGUGUUGUACAUAGUUCUCUUUUGUAUAUAGUUGUUUUUCUGUUGUGUAUAUAGUUAUUUUGCUGUGUUAGUGUAUAUAGUUGUUUGCUGUAUAUAGUUUUCAUUUUGCAGGGUUAGUGUGUAUAUAGUUCUUUGUUUUGUUGGAUAGCUUCUAAGUUAGUGCAUACACACUGCCUU